RNAcentral lists this ribosomal RNA (492 nucleotides) under uncultured bacterium. RNAcentral describes it as "bacterial SSU rRNA". It matches the Rfam family "Bacterial small subunit ribosomal RNA", at positions 28 to 517 of the family's 1533-position model. The record is from RNAcentral.
GAUGAACGCUGGCGGCGUGCUUAACACAUGCAAGUCGAACGAAGCACUUUAUUACGAUUUCUUCGGAAUGACGAUUUAGUGACUGAGUGGCGGACGGGUGAGUAACGCGUGGGUAACCUGCCUUAUACAGGGGGAUAACAGUUAGAAAUGACUGCUAAUACCGCAUAAGCGCACAGGAUUGCAUGAUCUGGUGUGAAAAACUCCGGUGGUAUAAGAUGGACCCGCGUCUGAUUAGCUGGUUGGUGAGGUAACGGCCCACCAAGGCGACGAUCAGUAGCCGACCUGAGAGGGUGACCGGCCACAUUGGGACUGAGACACGGCCCAAACUCCUACGGGAGGCAGCAGUGGGGAAUAUUGCACAAUGGGGGAAACCCUGAUGCAGCGACGCCGCGUGAGCGAAGAAGUAUUUCGGUAUGUAAAGCUCUAUCAGCAGGGAAGAAGAAAUGACGGUACCUGACUAAGAAGCACCGGCUAAAUACGUGCCAGCAGCCG